CGGCGAGUAGCACAGCUUGGUAGCGCAACUGGUUUGGGACCAGUGGGUCGGAGGUUCGAAUCCUCUCUCGCCGACCA
This 77-nucleotide transfer RNA is filed under the name Escherichia coli. RNAcentral describes it as "tRNA-Pro". It matches the Rfam family "tRNA". From Rfam's summary of the family: Transfer RNA (tRNA) molecules are approximately 80 nucleotides in length. Their secondary structure includes four short double-helical elements and three loops (D, anti-codon, and T loops). Further hydrogen bonds mediate the characteristic L-shaped molecular structure. tRNAs have two regions of fundamental functional importance: the anti-codon, which is responsible for specific mRNA codon recognition, and the 3' end, to which the tRNAs corresponding amino acid is attached (by aminoacyl-tRNA synthetases). tRNAs cope with the degeneracy of the genetic code in two manners: having more than one tRNA (with a specific anti-codon) for a particular amino acid; and 'wobble' base-pairing, i.e. permitting non-standard base-pairing at the 3rd anti-codon position. RNAcentral also lists the same sequence under 1 other name. The record is from RNAcentral. Lineage: Bacteria; Pseudomonadati; Pseudomonadota; Gammaproteobacteria; Enterobacterales; Enterobacteriaceae.